UGGACCAAUAACGCGGACUGGUGGUGUUUGAGUCAAGGAUAAUGAAUAGUAACAAUUACUCUGAGGCCCAA
RNAcentral lists this small nucleolar RNA (71 nucleotides) under Choloepus hoffmanni (Hoffmann's two-fingered sloth). RNAcentral's name for it is "Small nucleolar RNA SNORD113/SNORD114 family (ENSCHOG00000015980.1)". It matches the Rfam family "Small nucleolar RNA SNORD113/SNORD114 family". From Rfam's summary of the family: The imprinted human domain at 14q32 contains two clusters of tandemly repeated small nucleolar RNAs named 14q(I) and 14q(II) snoRNAs. The record is from RNAcentral. Lineage: Eukaryota; Metazoa; Chordata; Mammalia; Pilosa; Megalonychidae.